GUGAGUGAUGAUGAUAAGCUCCCGCUGCAGGUGUGAAUAGAGACCCCGGAGGUGCGUCCUAGCCCUCAUCUGGGGAAGCGCACCUGCAUACAGACGGGUGCACCGGGGAGGAGGCGACCUGCCGCGUGUUCCUGCAAGCAGAAAAGGAGUUAACUAGUGUCACAUUUGAAGACGAGCACUGAGGAUGAGGAACCAACUGAAGAAUAUGAAAAUGUUGGAAAUGCAGCAUCUAAGUGGCCAAAAGUGGAGGAUCCUAUGCCUGAAUCUAAGUUUCAGAUGAACUCCCAUAAUGAAUGAUGAAUUUGUGAUGAGGGAUAACCUGGAAGUGGUAUUCACACAUUAUGCUACAAUAAAAGGUUCUACCGUGGAGAGGAUUUUGACACAUUCAGUAACUAAUGGAACACACCGUCAACAUGAAUUCGCACCUUACAUGACAGAAGUGAUUCAGGGAUUCCUAUGAAUAGAAAUGCUGAGAAGGAACGCAUUUUAUUGCAGAAGCUAAAAAGCUAAAGUACCAGUCAUCUAGAGAGAAGGAAAUUAAUGUUUCUUAAUAAUCCUGUUAAAUGUUUGAUUGUUUUUGGAAUGUGUUAUUGUAAAGAUGUCAUGCAGGACAUGUAUAUGUUGUCUGUUGUAAAAUGUUAACGAAUACUUUGUUCAGGGCUCACUCUCUCUUUGUCAUGAAAGCCAGCUCCUUGUGGCGAGGUAAAGUGGAAUUCCAAUAAAGAAAUUCCUUAAAUCAAAA
Molecule: long non-coding RNA, 742 nt
Filed under: Homo sapiens (human)
Lineage: Eukaryota; Metazoa; Chordata; Mammalia; Primates; Hominidae
Description: non-protein coding lnc-ZFP62-2:2
Source: RNAcentral